Molecule: long non-coding RNA, 1085 nt
Organism: Salvia hispanica
Lineage: Eukaryota; Viridiplantae; Streptophyta; Magnoliopsida; Lamiales; Lamiaceae
Source: RefSeq, a predicted model, not a curated record
UAAAAGUUAAGCUAUGCUUUUAUUAGAGAAGUACUUGGAGGAAUUUAAAUACAAGUAGUACAUGUUUACAUAUGUGAAAGUGACAACACACACAUCUAUUCUACAUCAUUUAUCCUACAACACUAGUCAACAAGUUUGGAAGCUAGCUAUUUUGGUGAUGGAGCCAAAGGAUCUCUAGAGGAGCAUCUUCUUUCUUUCUCCCUCACUCUCUUUCUCGAUUAGGGAGCAGCCACAAGACUCCAAAGCUCCAGCCAUGUACCUGCAAAUUAACACAAGAAUAGGGGUUAGAAGAUGACUCACAAAUAACAAGGAAGGGAGGCACAAGCUCAAUUAGGAAAGGGAAGUAGUAGGCAAUGUAGAGGCUGCACUAUAGAGCCUGAGGUCAGCCAUUUUUGGCACAUUCUCAACUAGCAUCAAAGAGGAAUCAAGACAAGAGAGCAUAGUAGAAUGAGCCUCUACACAAGCCCAAUAUAGACAUGAGCAAGAUUCUUGUUUUCCCAUCGAUCAAGGCUGAGGAAACAGCCAAGAGAGACAACCAUACAUACACCAAAAUAGUAAGGAUAGCAUGAACAUCAAGCUCAAAAGUAGUGGAGCUGGCAGCCUCAAAAUAGGAGCCUUUGCCUCCAAGCCUCCAAGUAUCAAGCACAAAAGGCCAAAGAUAGAGCACUAUAUAAACAGCCCCAAUCUCCUUCUCCUCCCCUCAUUCUCAACACUAUAAGAUCACCAAAUAUUCAAGAGAGCAGCAAGAAGUGGAGGAGGAGCAAGGAGGAGUUUGAGGCAGGACAUCGGUCCCACCCAAGAGGAUUCAUAAAAGUGAGGUUGAACGUCAAGAGGAUGGAGAAAUGAUCGGAGUCGAUGCUUCUAAAUAAUACAGUGGAUCUUUUCACGAUUCGUGUCUUCAUACACGAAGUCGUCUAGUAUGGACUUAUUCCGCUGCUCUUUUGUGAAGUGAGACAUCUUAGAAUCUCACCUUCGAACUCUGAUUUAUUGAUGUAAUAUUUAUUCUAAGCUCUAAGACCAUGUAUGGUACAUUUGGCUUUUAUUUUAUGAUAUGAAUCGACUUGGCCUUUGGGCAUUAUUCUCAA